RNAcentral lists this ribosomal RNA (449 nucleotides) under uncultured bacterium. RNAcentral's name for it is "partial 16S ribosomal RNA". It matches the Rfam family "Bacterial small subunit ribosomal RNA", at positions 29 to 523 of the family's 1533-position model. The record is from RNAcentral.
AAUGAACGCUGGCGGCAGGCCUAACACAUGCAAGUCGAACGGAUCCUUCGGGAUUAGUGGCGGACGGGUGAGUAACGCGUGGGAACAUACCCUUUGGUACGGAAUAGCCUCGGGAAACCGGGAGUAAUACCGUAUGUGGUCGAGAGACGAAAGAUUUAUCGCCAAAGGAUUGGCCCGCGUUGGAUUAGGUAGUUGGUGGGGCAAUGGCCUACCAAGCCGACGAUCCAUAGCUGGUUUGAGAGGAUGAUCAGCCACACUGGGACUGAGACACGGCCCAGACUCCUACGGGAGGCAGCAGUGGGGAAUCUUAGACAAUGGGGGAAGCCCUGAUCUAGCCAUGCCGCGUGAUCGAUGAAGGCCUUAGGGUUGUAAAGAUCUUUCAGGUGGGAAGAUAAUGACUGUACCACCAGAAGAAGCCCCGGCUAACUCCGUGCCAGCAGCCGCGGUAA